This 253-nucleotide ribosomal RNA is filed under the name uncultured bacterium. Its description in RNAcentral is "partial 16S ribosomal RNA". It matches the Rfam family "Bacterial small subunit ribosomal RNA", at positions 524 to 776 of the family's 1533-position model. The record is from RNAcentral.
UACGUAGGGUGCGAGCGUUAAUCGGAAUUACUGGGCGUAAAGCGUGCGCAGGCGGUUUUGCAAGUCUGUCGUGAAAUCCCCGGGCUCAACCUGGGAAUGGCGAUGGAGACUGCAAGGCUGGAAUCUGGCAGAGGGGGGUAGAAUUCCACGUGUAGCAGUGAAAUGCGUAGAGAUGUGGAGGAACACCGAUGGCGAAGGCAGCCCCCUGGGCUAAGAUUGACGCUCAUGCACGAAAGCGUGGGGAGCAAACAGG